RNAcentral lists this unclassified non-coding RNA (303 nucleotides) under Hevea brasiliensis (rubber tree). The record is from RNAcentral. Lineage: Eukaryota; Viridiplantae; Streptophyta; Magnoliopsida; Malpighiales; Euphorbiaceae.
GCCGCGGGGAUGACCGAUUGCCGAUCUGAAACAACAGGUUGAUGCGAACUGACCGGACCCCUUGGGUGGCGAAAACAAUGUGCGGGCCAUUCCGGCAGACUAAAUUUUAGGCGGCAUGCUGCCGCAGCCGCAGAGCGCUGACGGCGAUUGACACGUUCUAAACAAUCUGCAUUAUAUUGCAUUAGUCGCCGAAGAGCGGCAGGAAGAACUGCAUUAUUAUUCUAAAGCAUGCAGUCGCCGAGGGGAGGGAAGCCAAUGCCUGCGUUCGCAGUACCUGCGGCGGAAGAAAUGCCGGCUGGGGGG